AGAAGUUGCCUGGUAUAAGCCGCUAGAUUAAUAAGGCUAGCUGAUAAGAGGAUACCUCAUAAGGGUAUAUUUCCUACCUCGAACUCAGUCGCAAGAAUAUGGAUUAGCUACCUAUAUUCUUAGUGAACGUUAGUAACGUAGCUAUUUGAUUUUCAGUAUAGGAAACUGAGAAUUAAGUAGUUGAAUAACUCUCU
RNAcentral lists this non-coding RNA (194 nucleotides) under unclassified sequences. RNAcentral describes it as "RAGATH-14 RNA". It matches the Rfam family "RAGATH-14 RNA". From Rfam's summary of the family: RNA motif Associated with Genes Associated with Twister and Hammerhead ribozymes (RAGATH). The record is from Rfam by way of RNAcentral.